Brassica napus (rape) is the source of this 1778-nucleotide RNA transcript. It is a transcript of the gene named glyceraldehyde-3-phosphate dehydrogenase GAPCP2, chloroplastic, with no coding region annotated. The record is from RefSeq and is a predicted model, not a curated record. NCBI's taxonomy places the organism in Eukaryota, Viridiplantae, Streptophyta, Magnoliopsida, Brassicales, Brassicaceae. The transcript has 15 exons.
AUUCUCAUCGCGCUAUUAGCUACGAUGGGCCGUGCCGCAGCGGAACACAACAUCAUCGUCUCUGCAGAGUCGUAAGCAUAUUUACAUGAGAAUAUCCGUCUACAGUUACACUCAGAAGCGUUUUGGGGUUUUAGCGGCGAGGUCUCUUUGUUCUCAUGUAGCUUAGCGAUGGCCUGCUCUUCCCUUCUCAGAUCUGCCGCCACUUCCGCCGCCGCUCCUCGUGUCGAGCUUCACACAUCUCCGUCGUACGGCCAUUCUCAGGUCACGUCAAGUCUUGGAUUUAGUCGCAACCUGACCUCGUCCAGAUUCUCCGGUGCUGCGGUUUCAACAGGGUCAUCUUCAUCUUUACAAAUAUGCAAUGCGCGAAGUGUUCAACCUAUCAAGGCGACAGCUACAGAAGCGCCUCCUACUGUCUACAGGUCAAGGAGCAGUGGAAAGACUAAGGUCGGGAUCAAUGGUUUUGGUCGGAUUGGAAGGUUGGUCCUUCGUAUCGCAACUUUCAGAGAUGAUAUUGAGGUUGUAGCAGUCAACGACCCAUUCAUAGACGCCAAGUACAUGGCAUACAUGUUCAAGUAUGAUUCUACUCAUGGAAAUUACAAAGGAACCAUCAAUGUAAUUGACGAUUCCACUUUGGAGAUCAAUGGAAAAGAAGUCAAAGUUGUCAGCAAGAGAGACCCAGCUGAGAUCCCUUGGGCUGAUCUUGGAGCUGAUUAUGUGGUUGAAUCUUCCGGAGUAUUCACCACCCUUGCAAAAGCUUCGUCACAUUUGAAGGGUGGCGCCAAGAAAGUCAUCAUUUCUGCCCCUUCAGCGGACGCACCAAUGUUUGUUGUUGGAGUAAAUGAGAGGACAUACAGACCUAACAUGGAUAUUGUCUCGAAUGCAAGCUGUACCACCAAUUGUCUUGCACCUCUUGCUAAGGUGGUGCAUGAGGAAUUUGGAAUUCUUGAAGGCUUGAUGACAACAGUUCAUGCGACCACAGCAACUCAGAAAACUGUGGACGGCCCAUCAAUGAAGGACUGGAGAGGAGGCCGAGGUGCCAGUCAAAACAUCAUUCCUAGCUCAACCGGCGCUGCAAAGGCUGUUGGUAAGGUUCUUCCAGAACUCAAUGGAAAACUAACGGGAAUGGCUUUCCGUGUUCCAACACCAAAUGUUUCUGUUGUGGAUUUAACUUGUCGACUUGAGAAGGAUGCAUCGUACGAAGAUGUCAAGGCAGCCAUCAAGUUUGCUUCAGAAGGACCACUUAGGGGAAUUAUGGGGUACACAGAAGAAGAUGUCGUCUCCAGCGAUUUUGUCGGAGAUUCAAGGUCAAGUAUCUUUGAUGCUAAUGCUGGGAUUGGAUUAAGCAAGUCCUUCAUGAAGCUUGUCUCCUGGUAUGACAACGAAUGGGGUUACAGCAACCGAGUCCUUGACCUGAUAGAGCAUAUGGCGUUAGUUUCAGCCAUCCGCUAAAACCAUGGCAGUUUCUUGCAGAAGCCAGAGAUUUUAUCCAUGCUCUAUGCAUUAGGAUGUUACAUGAAAGAAAACGCACUCGGAGAAAAUGGAGGAAAAGGUAUAAGGGGACAAAAGCUUUUUUGCAAUCGUGGAAAUCCACUUUGAUCUCAACCAAAUGUGGCACUGCAUAAUUAAUCAUUUUAGUCUCUAUCAACAUAAUUCUAAAGUUUCUUUAAUUUACGCUACCAGGUUUGAUUUUUUUCUAUUAGAUGAAGGAACUUGCGAACGUGUAAUGUAAAAGCAUUAGGGACUCAUUGUUGUUUUGGUCCGGUUCUUUGGACCACGUC